RNAcentral lists this ribosomal RNA (447 nucleotides) under uncultured bacterium. Its description in RNAcentral is "SSU rRNA". It matches the Rfam family "Bacterial small subunit ribosomal RNA", at positions 26 to 518 of the family's 1533-position model. The record is from RNAcentral.
AGAACGAACGCUGGCGGCAGGCCUCAAACAUGCAAGUCUAGGGGAUGUAGCAAUACAUCACCGGCGGACGGGUGCGUAACACGUGGGAAUAUACCUUUCGGUACGGAACAACUGCGGGAAACUGCAGCUAAUACCGUAUACGUCCUUACGGAGAAAGAUUUAUCGCCGAAGGAUUAGCCCGCGUUCGAUUAGCUAGUUGGUGAGGUAAUGGCUCACCAAGGCGACGAUCGAUAGCUGUUCUGAGAGGAAGAUCAGCCACACUGGGACUGAGACACGGCCCAGACUCCUACGGGAGGCAGCAGUUGGGAAUCUUGGACAAUGGGGGAAACCCUGAUCCAGCCAUGCCGCGUGAGUGAUGAAGGCCUUCGGGUUGUAAAGCUCUUUACCCGGGAAGAUAAUGACUGUACCGGGAGAAUAAGCUCCGGCUAACUUCGUGCCAGCAGCCGC